Molecule: ribosomal RNA, 253 nt
Filed under: uncultured bacterium
Lineage: Bacteria
Description: partial 16S ribosomal RNA
Rfam family: Bacterial small subunit ribosomal RNA
Source: RNAcentral
UACGUAGGGUGCAAGCGUUGUCCGGAAUUAUUGGGCGUAAAGAGCUCGUAGGCGGUUUGUCGCGUCUGCUGUGAAAUUUCGGGGCUCAACCCCGAACUUGCAGUGGGUACGGGCAGACUAGAGUGUGGUAGGGGAGACUGGAAUUCCUGGUGUAGCGGUGAAAUGCGCAGAUAUCAGGAGGAACACCGAUGGCGAAGGCAGGUCGCUGGAACGGUACUGACGCUGAGGCGCGAAAGCGUGGGGAGCGAACAGG